Molecule: non-coding RNA, 112 nt
Organism: Zootoca vivipara (common lizard)
Lineage: Eukaryota; Metazoa; Chordata; Lepidosauria; Squamata; Lacertidae
Source: RefSeq, a predicted model, not a curated record
ACUGGUUAUCUGAAAUAAUAUCCUACAACCCCAUGGGAGACAGAAAUAGGUAGUAUAACUUUACCAAACUAUGAAAUAGGAAGAAGACAUACCCUCAAGGUUCUAGGCCUUC